RNAcentral lists this long non-coding RNA (337 nucleotides) under Pan troglodytes (chimpanzee). RNAcentral's name for it is "long non-coding RNA NONPTRT009798". Lineage: Eukaryota; Metazoa; Chordata; Mammalia; Primates; Hominidae. The record is from RNAcentral.
AGCGUGACCCGGCUCACGCCGCGGUAGAAACCAGUGUCCGUCCAGCCCAGGUCCAGAGGAGGCACCUCGGUGUCGGAACGGUCGGGCCAGUAGGCCAGGGACUCGCCGGACUCAGCCGGCGCCGGCGCGGGGGCCUUGGCCUUGGCCUUGCUCUUGCCCCGGGCGUUGGCGGCGGGGACGGCGUCCUCGUAGGGGCUCCAGGCGGCCCGCAGGGCCUGGCGCUCCGGGCUGGAGAGGAAGUCCCGCAGCUGCUCCUCCUUGAGCCGCUCGCGGUAGGCCUGCUCGCCGCCGCCCAGCAGCGCCUCCAGCGCGGCCCGCCGCCGCUCGCAGUAGUAGA